RNAcentral lists this ribosomal RNA (1533 nucleotides) under Lactiplantibacillus plantarum. Its description in RNAcentral is "partial 16S ribosomal RNA". It matches the Rfam family "Bacterial small subunit ribosomal RNA". Lineage: Bacteria; Bacillati; Bacillota; Bacilli; Lactobacillales; Lactobacillaceae. The record is from RNAcentral.
UUUUUUUUUUUUUUUUUUUUUUUCUUUUCUAGAGAACGCUGCGGCGUGCCUAAUACAUGCAAGUCGAACGAACUCUGGUAUUGAUUGGUGCUUGCAUCAUGAUUUACAUUUGAGUGAGUGGCGAACUGGUGAGUAACACGUGGGAAACCUGCCCAGAAGCGGGGGAUAACACCUGGAAACAGAUGCUAAUACCGCAUAACAACUUGGACCGCAUGGUCCGAGCUUGAAAGAUGGCUUCGGCUAUCACUUUUGGAUGGUCCCGCGGCGUAUUAGCUAGAUGGUGGGGUAACGGCUCACCAUGGCAAUGAUACGUAGCCGACCUGAGAGGGUAAUCGGCCACAUUGGGACUGAGACACGGCCCAAACUCCUACGGGAGGCAGCAGUAGGGAAUCUUCCACAAUGGACGAAAGUCUGAUGGAGCAACGCCGCGUGAGUGAAGAAGGGUUUCGGCUCGUAAAACUCUGUUGUUAAAGAAGAACAUAUCUGAGAGUAACUGUUCAGGUAUUGACGGUAUUUAACCAGAAAGCCACGGCUAACUACGUGCCAGCAGCCGCGGUAAUACGUAGGUGGCAAGCGUUGUCCGGAUUUAUUGGGCGUAAAGCGAGCGCAGGCGGUUUUUUAAGUCUGAUGUGAAAGCCUUCGGCUCAACCGAAGAAGUGCAUCGGAAACUGGGAAACUUGAGUGCAGAAGAGGACAGUGGAACUCCAUGUGUAGCGGUGAAAUGCGUAGAUAUAUGGAAGAACACCAGUGGCGAAGGCGGCUGUCUGGUCUGUAACUGACGCUGAGGCUCGAAAGUAUGGGUAGCAAACAGGAUUAGAUACCCUGGUAGUCCAUACCGUAAACGAUGAAUGCUAAGUGUUGGAGGGUUUCCGCCCUUCAGUGCUGCAGCUAACGCAUUAAGCAUUCCGCCUGGGGAGUACGGCCGCAAGGCUGAAACUCAAAGGAAUUGACGGGGGCCCGCACAAGCGGUGGAGCAUGUGGUUUAAUUCGAAGCUACGCGAAGAACCUUACCAGGUCUUGACAUACUAUGCAAAUCUAAGAGAUUAGACGUUCCCUUCGGGGACAUGGAUACAGGUGGUGCAUGGUUGUCGUCAGCUCGUGUCGUGAGAUGUUGGGUUAAGUCCCGCAACGAGCGCAACCCUUAUUAUCAGUUGCCAGCAUUAAGUUGGGCACUCUGGUGAGACUGCCGGUGACAAACCGGAGGAAGGUGGGGAUGACGUCAAAUCAUCAUGCCCCUUAUGACCUGGGCUACACACGUGCUACAAUGGAUGGUACAACGAGUUGCGAACUCGCGAGAGUAAGCUAAUCUCUUAAAGCCAUUCUCAGUUCGGAUUGUAGGCUGCAACUCGCCUACAUGAAGUCGGAAUCGCUAGUAAUCGCGGAUCAGCAUGCCGCGGUGAAUACGUUCCCGGGCCUUGUACACACCGCCCGUCACACCAUGAGAGUUUGUAACACCCAAAGUCGGUGGGGUAACCUUUUAGGAACCAGCCGCCUAAGGUGGGACAGAUGAUUAGGGUGAAGUCGUACCAGGGG